This is a long non-coding RNA of Sinocyclocheilus rhinocerous, 305 nucleotides long. RefSeq lists it as uncharacterized. NCBI's taxonomy places the organism in Eukaryota, Metazoa, Chordata, Actinopteri, Cypriniformes, Cyprinidae. The transcript has 3 exons. The record is from RefSeq and is a predicted model, not a curated record.
GACGGCAGCAGUGUGUGGAUUUGAAGCCUUUAUCAAUGGAAAACACGUCAUUGGAAAGGUAAAGGAAAAAGAGCAGGCUCGUAAGGAGUACAAGCAAGCCAUAGAGAAAGGCCAUGGAGCCUACCUGAUGGACCAGGAUGCACCUGAUGUAUUUACUAUCAGUGUGGGGAAUCUUCCUCCUGGAGCCACAGUUCUGAUCAAGGUGACGUUCAUCACUGAGCUGCUGGUCAGAUCAGGCUCUAUAAUCUUCUCACUGUCUGGCAGCGUGGCACCAUGGCAACAGAGCGCCGCCCUUAAUCAGACAA